RNAcentral lists this ribosomal RNA (1139 nucleotides) under Salmonella enterica subsp. enterica serovar Kentucky. Its description in RNAcentral is "partial 23S ribosomal RNA". It matches the Rfam family "Bacterial large subunit ribosomal RNA", at positions 504 to 1544 of the family's 2925-position model. The record is from RNAcentral. Lineage: Bacteria; Pseudomonadati; Pseudomonadota; Gammaproteobacteria; Enterobacterales; Enterobacteriaceae.
UGAGGGAAAGGCGAAAAGAACCCCGGCGAGGGGAGUGAAAAAGAACCUGAAACCGUGUACGUACAAGCAGUGGGAGCCCCACCACCAAAGCAUUCUCUGGUGUUGAAGGCCCUGCAAAGCAGCAUCGCGGUGGCGGAGCGUCGUUUGCGACGCCCAACACACAAAACAAGCGGUGAGUGCUUUGGGGUGGGGUGACUGCGUACCUUUUGUAUAAUGGGUCAGCGACUUAUAUUCUGUAGCAAGGUUAACCGUAUAGGGGAGCCGAAGGGAAACCGAGUCUUAACUGGGCGUUAAGUUGCAGGGUAUAGACCCGAAACCCGGUGAUCUAGCCAUGGGCAGGUUGAAGGUUGGGUAACACUAACUGGAGGACCGAACCGACUAAUGUUGAAAAAUUAGCGGAUGACUUGUGGCUGGGGGUGAAAGGCCAAUCAAACCGGGAGAUAGCUGGUUCUCCCCGAAAGCUAUUUAGGUAGCGCCUCGUGAACUCAUCUUCGGGGGUAGAGCACUGUUUCGGCUAGGGGGUCAUCCCGACUUACCAACCCGAUGCAAACUGCGAAUACCGAAGAAUGUUAUCACGGGAGACACACGGCGGGUGCUAACGUCCGUCGUGAAGAGGGAAACAACCCAGACCGCCAGCUAAGGUCCCAAAGUCACAGUUAAGUGGGAAACGAUGUGGGAAGGCUCAGACAGCCAGGAUGUUGGCUUAGAAGCAGCCAUCAUUUAAAGAAAGCGUAAUAGCUCACUGGUCGAGUCGGCCUGCGCGGAAGAUGUAACGGGGCUAAACUGUGCACCGAAGCUGCGGCAGCGACGCUUAUGCGUUGUUGGGUAGGGGAGCGUUCUGUAAGCCUGCGAAGGUGUCCUGUGAGGGAUGCUGGAGGUAUCAGAAGUGCGAAUGCUGACAUAAGUAACGAUAAUGCGGGUGAAAAGCCCGCUCGCCGGAAGACCAAGGGUUCCUGUCCAACGUUAAUCGGGGCAGGGUGAGUCGACCCCUAAGGCGAGGCCGAAAGGCGUAGUCGAUGGGAAACGGGUUAAUAUUCCCGUACUUGGUGUUACUGCGAAGGGGGGACGGAGAAGGCUAUGUUGGCCGGGCGACGGUUGUCCCGGUUUAAGCGUGUAGGCUGGUUUUCCAGGCAAAUCCG